AAACUUGUGUUCAUGGGAAAGGGACUACCAAAUUAUUCUGCAGAUUUCACAGCCAACUUAACAUUCACAAUCUCUAAUGUCAUCAACCUUCAUCAGGUACGAAUUCCAUUAGUUUCUAUCUUAGGAUUUGAACUUUGCACACUCUUUUUAUUUAUCUAAAAGCAUGAUGGUGGUAUAAACUGUUACAUCUUUCAUGGAGUGAGCUAUUUGCAUUCAGUGCUCAGUUGAAAGGUUGGUAUAACAAGGAUGAUGUGGCUGCUGAGUGGAAGAAAGUGAAAGAGACCACGUUUCUGAACGUGCACUGUAAUGUAGGCGGUCCGAAUCUCUUGCUGCGGAGUUUAGAUAACCACAUUUUCUCCGAGGAGCUGCCUUUGCUAAGUUUUCCUCCAUUGAAUCAGGAAAAGAAUAGGACUAAACGAUGAUUAGGAAAUUUAGAAAUCGGCUUUGACGUUUUCGACUUGGGAGUCUUAAAUUAUCAUAUUUGUGAUCUCAAUAUGAACUUGCUCCUUCAUUUAGCCAUUUCAUAGACAGAUUUUCUUUUUCUUUCGGCAUGCUGUGUUUUGACAGUGCUAGCGACAUUCUCAUGGCAAUGUUGUGUUGCAACAUAAGCCAGGUACUUAAAGCUGUGCUGCAUGGAGAUUCAGUCCUUUUCGCAAAUCACCUGGAGCUAACGAACGCUGGAUGAUUAAGCUCGAUUAUUGAACCAAGGUCUUCUUUUUUUUAAUCUCAGAUAUCGUAGCAUUAUUUGAAACAACAUUAUUGGAAAGUACCCUUGUUUAUGUUCAACCAAGUUAACUGCAGAAAGUUCCUCUCUCUAACAGCAAAGUGCGGAAGAAGUUCAAAAUCCAUCUUUCAAGCACUGUGGACCUUCCUUCUUUAAUCCGUGACUCGAAACAAGGGGUCCAUUUCAUUAAAGGAUUUUUCUUCCGGUUCUGUUUGUGAUUGAUUGAUUAAGAAAUGUAAAU
RNAcentral lists this long non-coding RNA (965 nucleotides) under Gossypium barbadense (sea-island cotton). RNAcentral's name for it is "long non-coding RNA (GBAR_LNC016239)". Lineage: Eukaryota; Viridiplantae; Streptophyta; Magnoliopsida; Malvales; Malvaceae. The record is from RNAcentral.